Molecule: long non-coding RNA, 378 nt
Filed under: Parus major (Great Tit)
Lineage: Eukaryota; Metazoa; Chordata; Aves; Passeriformes; Paridae
Description: lncRNA (ENSPMJG00000017349.1)
Source: RNAcentral
GUGAAGCUGGCUUAACCCUACCCUGAACGUCAGAGUUGGCAGCAGCUGCUGCCAGGGUGGUGUGGAACAGCUGAUCCACAGACUGGGAGAGGAGAUGGGUCAUUAAGGGUCUCACCUCAUGCACAUUAAUGCUCCCCUUUCCCUUCAGAACAUGAACACUGGCUCUGGGUGUUUAAAACAGAAAUUUAACCAGACUUAUGUAAACAGGAAUGUCUAGCAGCAAAAUGAAAUAGUAGCAUAAAAAUGCAGUUGCACCAGAACUGUUAUCAAAUCGUAAGAAAACAACUGAAGUGGCAGAUGAGGGGAGAAGAGAGGAGAGAGAGAAAAACGGUGCAGUUUAUACCUCAGUGCAUAUUUCUGAUGGCUCAGUAUUUUUAA